AGCAGCCGCGGUAAUUCCAGCUCCAAUAGCGUAUAUUAAAGUUGCUGCAGUUAAAAAGCUCGUAGUUGAAUUUCGGGAUCAUCAUGUCGGUCGUGCCUCGGUACGUACUGGCAUUGUUGGUUUCUACCUUCUGACGAACCAUGAUGUCAUUUAUUUGGUGUCGUGGGAAAUCAGGACUGUUACUUUGAAAAAAUUAGAGUGUUUAAAGCAGGCUCACGCUUGAAUACAUUAGCAUGGAAUAAUGAAAUAGGACGUUUGAUUCUAUUUUGUUGGUUUCUAGGAUCGACGUAAUGAUUAAUAGGGAUAGUUGGGGGCAUUAGUAUUCAAUUGUCAGAGGUGAAAUUCUUGGAUUUAUUGAAGACUAACUACUGCGAAAGCAUUUGCCAAGGAUGUUUUCAUUAAUCAAGAACGAAAGUUAGGGGAUCGAAGACGAUCAGAUACCGUCGUAGUCUUAACCAUAAACUAUGCCGACUAGGGAUCGGAUGAUGUAAUUUUUAAUGA
This 501-nucleotide ribosomal RNA is filed under the name uncultured Glomus. Its description in RNAcentral is "SSU rRNA". It matches the Rfam family "Eukaryotic small subunit ribosomal RNA", at positions 569 to 1075 of the family's 1831-position model. The record is from RNAcentral. Lineage: Eukaryota; Fungi; Glomeromycota; Glomeromycetes; Glomerales; Glomeraceae.